GAUGAAGAACGCAGCGAAAUGCGAUACGUAAUGUGAAUUGCAGAAUUCAGUGAAUCAUCGAAUCUUUGAACGCAUAUUGCGCUCUCUGGUAUUCCGGAGAGCAUGCUUGUUUGAGUAUCAGUAAACACCUCAACUUCCAUAUCUUUUUUGAAAUGGGAGUUGGACUUGAGUGAUCCCAACGCUUUUCCUCACCGAAAAGUGGCGGGUUACUUGAAAUGCAGGUGCAGCUGGACUUUUCUCUGAGCUAUAAGCAUAUCUAUUUAGUCUGCCUAAAAAACAGAUUAUUACCUUUGCUGCAGCUAACAUAAAGGAGAUUAGUUCUUGUGCAGACUGAUGCAGGAUUCACAAAGACAGCUUCGGCCGACUUUGUAAACUCGAUCUCAAAUCAAGUAAGACUACCCGCUGAACUUAAGCAUAUCAAUAAGCGGAGGA
RNAcentral lists this unclassified non-coding RNA (432 nucleotides) under soil metagenome. RNAcentral's name for it is "partial contains 5.8S ribosomal RNA, internal transcribed spacer 2, and large subunit ribosomal RNA". The stretch from base 1 to 120 matches the Rfam family "5.8S ribosomal RNA", at positions 35 to 154 of the family's 154-position model. The record is from RNAcentral.